RNAcentral lists this ribosomal RNA (424 nucleotides) under uncultured bacterium. Its description in RNAcentral is "bacterial SSU rRNA". It matches the Rfam family "Bacterial small subunit ribosomal RNA", at positions 356 to 794 of the family's 1533-position model. The record is from RNAcentral.
GGGGAAUAUUGGGCAAUGGGCGAAAGCCUGACCCAGCAACGCCGCGUGAGGGAAGAAGGUUUUCGGAUUGUAAACCUCUGUCCUUGGUGACGAAGGAAGUGACGGUAGCCAAGGAGGAAGCCCCGGCUAACUACGUGCCAGCAGCCGCGGUAAUACGUAGGGGGCGAGCGUUGUCCGGAAUGACUGGGCGUAAAGGGCGCGUAGGCGGCUUUUUAAGUUAGAAGUGGAAGUCCUGCUUUUAAGGUGGGAAUUGCUUUUAAUACUGGAAGGCUUGAGUGCAGAAGAGGUAAGUGGAAUUCCCAGUGUAGCGGUGAAAUGCGUAGAGAUUGGGAAGAACACCAGUGGCGAAGGCGACUUACUGGGCUGUAACUGACGCUGAGGCGCGAAAGCGUGGGGAGCAAACAGGAUUAGAUACCCUGGUAGU